This 253-nucleotide ribosomal RNA is filed under the name uncultured bacterium. Its description in RNAcentral is "partial 16S ribosomal RNA". It matches the Rfam family "Bacterial small subunit ribosomal RNA", at positions 524 to 776 of the family's 1533-position model. The record is from RNAcentral.
UACGGGGGGGGCAAGCGUUGUUCGGAAUUACUGGGCGUAAAGGGCUCGUAGGCGGCCAACUAAGUCAGACGUGAAAUCCCUCGGCUUAACCGGGGAACUGCGUCUGAUACUGGAUGGCUUGGAUUUGGGAGAGGGAUGCGGAAUUCCAGGUGUAGCGGUGAAAUGCGUAGAUAUCUGGAGGAACACCGGUGGCGAAGGCGGCAUCCUGGACCAAUAUUGACGCUGAGGAGCGAAAGCCAGGGGAGCAAACGGG